RNAcentral lists this ribosomal RNA (325 nucleotides) under uncultured eukaryote. RNAcentral describes it as "partial 18S ribosomal RNA". It matches the Rfam family "Eukaryotic small subunit ribosomal RNA", at positions 1470 to 1796 of the family's 1831-position model. The record is from RNAcentral.
CCCUUAGAUGUCCUGGGCCGCACGCGCGCUACACUGAUGCAUUCAACGAGUUUUACCUUGGCCGAGAGGCCUGGGCAAUCUUUUAAACCUGCAUCGUGAUAGGGGUAGAUUAUUGCAAUUAUUAAUCUUGAACGAGGAAUUCCUAGUAAACGCAGAUCAUCAAUCUGCAUUGAUUACGUCCCUGCCCUUUGUACACACCGCCCGUCGCACCUACCGAUUGAAUGGUCCGGUGAAGCCUCGGGAUUGUGGCCAGUUCACUUUAUUGGGAGUUGGCUGCGAGAACUUGUCUAAACCUUAUCAUUUAGAGGAAGGUGAAGUCGUAACA